UUUUAACCCCUUUAUUGCUGGAAAGAAAAAACGAGAAACUUAGAUUGAAAUUUUGGGAGAGUUGAAAGGCGAAAAAAAUAAAUUUGAAACACUGUUGGCGGCUGUCAAAAUUGCAGAUACGGUUGCAGAGAAAGAGACUUGUGGCUGACGGUCAUUACGUGUGGAUUCUGUUGCUAAGGUGAGCCUUCGCAUUGUUCCUGGAGGCUGUCAUCAAGCUUUAGUCAUUUUUAGCUUAUAUUUCUUUUCGUUGGAUUUGCAUGCCCGAAAGGUGAACUCAUGUAACUUUGUUUAGAUGCUCCAUGGUCUAGUGUGGGGUUUGGGUUAGAGAUUUGUUAUCUUUUCGUAAGUCGUUAUACGAUAUCUUGUUGGAUAAUAACUUUGCACUUAAUAAUAAGUUCGUGCAUUUGAAGUUGCACAUAUUUUUUUUUA
Long non-coding RNA from Capsicum annuum, 429 nucleotides. RefSeq lists it as uncharacterized. NCBI's taxonomy places the organism in Eukaryota, Viridiplantae, Streptophyta, Magnoliopsida, Solanales, Solanaceae. The record is from RefSeq and is a predicted model, not a curated record. The transcript is spliced from 2 exons.